GAAGGGAGCUUGCUCCCGGAUGUUAGCGGCGGACGGGUGAGUAACACGUGGGUAACCUGCCUGUAAGACUGGGAUAACUCCGGGAAACCGGAGCUAAUACCGGAUAGUUCCUUGAACCGCAUGGUUCAAGGAUGAAAGACGGUUUCGGCUGUCACUUACAGAUGGACCCGCGGCGCAUUAGCUAGUUGGUGAGGUAACGGCUCACCAAGGCGACGAUGCGUAGCCGACCUGAGAGGGUGAUCGGCCACACUGGGACUGAGACACGGCCCAGACUCCUACGGGAGGCAGCAGUAGGGAAUCUUCCGCAAUGGACGAAAGUCUGACGGAGCAACGCCGCGUGAGUGAUGAAGGUUUUCGGAUCGUAAAGCUCUGUUGUUAGGGAAGAACAAGUGCAAGAGUAACUGCUUGCACCUUGACGGUACCUAACCAGAAAGCCACGGCUAACUACGUGCCAGCAGCCGCGGUAAUACGUAGGUGGCAAGCGUUGUCCGGAAUUAUUGGGCGUAAAGGGCUCGCAGGCGGUUUCUUAAGUCUGAUGUGAAAGCCCCCGGCUCAACCGGGGAGGGUCAUUGGAAACUGGGAAACUUGAGUGCAGAAGAGGAGAGUGGAAAUUCCACGUGUAGCGGUGAAAUGCGUAGAGAUGUGGAGGAACACCAGUGGCGAAAGCGACUCUCU
Molecule: ribosomal RNA, 675 nt
Filed under: Bacillus sp. (in: firmicutes)
Lineage: Bacteria; Bacillati; Bacillota; Bacilli; Caryophanales; Bacillaceae
Description: bacterial SSU rRNA
Rfam family: Bacterial small subunit ribosomal RNA
Source: RNAcentral